GUUUAAUUUUUUGCAGGUAAUUUGGUUGUGUCAUUUGUAAAACAUAACCAGGAGUCUGUGCAGUGUCUGCCUUCAAGUUUACAUUUAUCAAUUUAAGAACUGGUUUGAGAUCAAUCAGUGCCACUGAAGUCUUGCACGUUGAGUGUCUCUCCAAAAAGAGAUGCCUCCUCUGCCUGUGUCUUAUCUCACAUGUGUUUCUAUAUAAUCUACUGGUAGAUUUCUCCAGAUCAGACAAUUUCAUUUAACAGCUUCUGGUCUUGUAACACGUUCCAGGGGUCUUCCAGAGCCAGGGAGAGAAUGGAAAGCUCCUUCAACUCUGUGUAAUGUGCUUUGAGCAAUGUGUGAGCUGCAGAGCCUCACCUGUGCACCAGAUUUGUGUCUCCUCCUUGGUCCAGCACAGCUGAGGAGCUCAGGGAGCGAGAGAGAUGUGUUCUGCUCACCUGUGCAAAAACACAGUGCGGGAGAGGCCAGAGUGCAGGGGAAGGUCCCAGAGGUUCCAACUGGGUGGCAAUAGGAAAAUGCAGUCAGCUUCAUCAGAUACGAAGUAGAACUGAAGACACAAAAGAAUUUAAACCCUUCCCUCCAAUCUGAGUCAAGACUUGAUCACAGAUUGUCUCCUGUUGUUAAGGUAAAGAGAAAAGUCUGCUUUUAUGGAACAGCUCAGUGGAAGCUGGAUUUACAUCUAUUUUAUAGGUAGGCUGGCUUUCUGCUUUCUCUUAAAUGCUCUGCUUGCUGGGUGUUUGUAUCUGUAGCUGAAGAGCUGAUGCUUCAGAAAAGAAAAUGCGUAAGGAGGAAGAGAAAACAGCUAUUUCCUGAGCUGCUCUAAAUUCAUGUCGAUGUCCCAGCAUUAACCAGAGUUCCUCUUUGUGCUAAGCUGAGGAGUUACAGCUGAAGCUUGGGGCAGUGAGGUCCUGUGGCAGCCAGGAGCUCUUGUGCAGCAGUGUCACUGACAGGGGGAGCAGUGGGGUCCCCAAGCCCUGUACCCUCUAAGUUCAUGGGAAAUACUAACCCUGCAUGUCUCCUCUUCCCUUUUUCCUAAAGAAAUAAGCUUUUAUUGUUAUCCAGAAAAACACUGCUUUUAUAACUUCACUGCUUUUUACUGCUCUGUGCCAAUUGUAGAGACCAUUUAAAGCUAUUUUGCCCUCGAUUUCUGUGUUGGGAUAGGUAGGAUCUGGGGCAGAAUAAUCC
Molecule: long non-coding RNA, 1188 nt
Filed under: Cyanistes caeruleus (blue tit)
Lineage: Eukaryota; Metazoa; Chordata; Aves; Passeriformes; Paridae
Description: lncRNA (ENSCCEG00000001001.1)
Source: RNAcentral